This 58-nucleotide ribosomal RNA is filed under the name Gomphrena celosioides f. roseiflora. RNAcentral describes it as "partial 26S ribosomal RNA". Lineage: Eukaryota; Viridiplantae; Streptophyta; Magnoliopsida; Caryophyllales; Amaranthaceae. The record is from RNAcentral.
GACCCCAGGUCAGGCGGGGUUACCCGCUGAGUUUAAGCAUAUCAAUAAGCCGGAGGAA